CGUGGCCAACCUGCCCUUGGGACGGAAGCACCCCCGGGAAACUGGGGCUAAUUUCCGAUAGGGGAAGACUCCUGGAAUGGAUUUUCGCCUAAAAGGCGCUUAGAGCAUGCUUCUAGGUGUUGCCCAAGGAUGGGGCCGCGGCCGAUCAGGUUGUUGGUGAGGUAACGGCUCACCAAGCCUUUAACCGGUGCGGGCCGCGGGAGCGGGAGCCCGGAGAUGGGCACUGAGACAAGGGCCCAGGCCCUACGGGGCGCAGCAGUCGCGAAAACUUCGCAAUAAGCGAAAGCUUGACGGGGCUAUCCCGAGUGCCAUCCGCUGAGGAUGGCUUUUCCCUAGUAUAGAUAGCUGGGGGAAAAAGGAGAGGGCAAGUCUGGUGUCAGCCGCCGCGGUAAUACCAGCUCUCCGAGUGGUGGGGAUGAUUAUUGGGCCUAAAGCAUCCGUAGCCGGCUGGGCAAGUCCCCUGUUAAACCCAGCGAUCUAAUCGUUGGCCUGCGGGGGAUACUGCUUGGCUAGGGGGCGAGAGAGGCCGUCGGUAUUCCCGGGGUAGGGGUGAAAUCCUAUAAUCCCGGGAGGACCACCAGUGGCGAAGGCUGUCGGCUAGAACGCGCCCGACGGUGAGGGAUGAAAGCUGGGGGAGCGAACCGGAUUAGAUACCCGGGUAGUCCCAGCUGU
Molecule: ribosomal RNA, 672 nt
Filed under: uncultured archaeon
Lineage: Archaea
Description: bacterial SSU rRNA
Rfam family: Archaeal small subunit ribosomal RNA
Source: RNAcentral